RNAcentral lists this ribosomal RNA (493 nucleotides) under uncultured bacterium. Its description in RNAcentral is "bacterial SSU rRNA". It matches the Rfam family "Bacterial small subunit ribosomal RNA", at positions 30 to 516 of the family's 1533-position model. The record is from RNAcentral.
AUUGAACGCUGGCGGCAGGCCUAACACAUGCAAGUCGAGCGGUAGAGAGGUGCUUGCAUCUCUUGAGAGCGGCGGACGGGUGAGUAAUGCCUAGGAAUCUGCCUAGUGGUGGGGGAUAACGUUCGGAAACGGACGCUAAUACCGCAUACGUCCUACGGGAGAAAGCGGGGGAUCUUCGGACCUCGCGCCAUUAGAUGAGCCUAGGUCGGAUUAGCUAGUUGGUGAGGUAAUGGCUCACCAAGGCGACGAUCCGUAACUGGUCUGAGAGGAUGAUCAGUCACACUGGAACUGAGACACGGUCCAGACUCCUACGGGAGGCAGCAGUGGGGAAUAUUGGACAAUGGGCGAAGACCUGAUCCAGCCAUGCCGCGUGUGUGAAGAAGGUCUUCGGAUUGUAAAGCACUUUAAGUUGGGAGGAAGGGUAGUAACCUAAUACGUUGCUACUUUGACGUUACCGACAGAAUAAGCACCGGCUAACUUCGUGCCAGCAGCC